AAGUCGUAACAAGGUUUCCGUAGGUGAACCUGCGGAAGGAUCAUUACAAUUCAGUAGCUUGCUACUGUCGGGAGGUGCUGUAAGCCCGCAUAGUUUAAUUACUGAUGAGCGGCAGGCCCUCUGUCUGUACCCUUGUCUUUUGCGCACUCAUGUUCCUCGGCGGGCUUGCCCGCCGAUUGGACAACACUAUAACCUUUUUAAUUUUCAAUCAGCGCCUGAAAAAACUUAAUAAUUACAA
This 238-nucleotide unclassified non-coding RNA is filed under the name plant metagenome. RNAcentral describes it as "partial contains small subunit ribosomal RNA and internal transcribed spacer 1". The stretch from base 1 to 46 matches the Rfam family "Eukaryotic small subunit ribosomal RNA", at positions 1786 to 1831 of the family's 1831-position model. The record is from RNAcentral.